GCCGAAGUGGCGAAAUUGGUAGACGCACAGGACUUAAAAUCCUGUAUUCAGCAAUGAGUGUGCGGGUUCGAUUCCCGCCUUCGGUA
Molecule: transfer RNA, 86 nt
Filed under: Chlorobiales bacterium
Lineage: Bacteria; Pseudomonadati; Chlorobiota; Chlorobiia; Chlorobiales
Rfam family: tRNA
About the family: Transfer RNA (tRNA) molecules are approximately 80 nucleotides in length. Their secondary structure includes four short double-helical elements and three loops (D, anti-codon, and T loops).
Source: Rfam by way of RNAcentral